UACAGAGGAUGCAAGCGUUAUCCGGAAUGAUUGGGCGUAAAGCGUCUGUAGGUGGCUUUUUAAGUCCGCCGUCAAAUCCCAGGGCUCAACUCUGGACAGGCGGUGGAAACUACCAAGCUGGAGUACGGUAGGGGCAGAGGGAAUUUCCGGUGGAGCGGUGAAAUGCGUAGAUAUUGGGAGGAACACCAGUGGCGAAGGCGGCUCACUGGACUGGUACUGACGCUGAUGCGCGAAAGCGUGGGGAGCAAACAGG
Molecule: ribosomal RNA, 253 nt
Filed under: uncultured bacterium
Lineage: Bacteria
Description: partial 16S ribosomal RNA
Rfam family: Bacterial small subunit ribosomal RNA
Source: RNAcentral